Molecule: long non-coding RNA, 307 nt
Organism: Telopea speciosissima
Lineage: Eukaryota; Viridiplantae; Streptophyta; Magnoliopsida; Proteales; Proteaceae
Exons: 2
Source: RefSeq, a predicted model, not a curated record
AUCCGUAGAAGAGCAGAGACACAGGCUCUGUUGUAAUGUUCCAUCUAGACAGAACCUGCAGAAGGAGGAUAUUUCUGCUUUGUACAUGAAUCAAUGAAAAAUAAUGUAAAAGGAGAAUAAAAUUAAUUUAGCCUUCUCUAGGAUACCUUUAAACAAAUACGGAUAUUAGAAUACCAUGACUGCUUUACAAUUACUUCAUGCCCUUUCUUUUUGUAACAUUCAGUGACACUACAUACCCAUUUGUGAUGACAUCACAUAAUUCAACUUCUUGUUUCCAUCUUCAAGCAAACAUGCAAAGCAACAGUUA